UAGGGAAUCUUCCACAAUGGACGCAAGUCUGAUGGAGCAACGCCGCGUGAGUGAAGAAGGUUUUCGGAUCGUAAAGCUCUGUUGUUGGUGAAGAAGGAUAGAGGUAGUAACUGGCCUUUAUUUGACGGUAAUCAACCAGAAAGUCACGGCUAACUACGUGCCAGCAGCCGCGGUAAUACGUAGGUGGCAAGCGUUGUCCGGAUUUAUUGGGCGUAAAGCGAGCGCAGGCGGAAGAAUAAGUCUGAUGUGAAAGCCCUCGGCUUAACCGAGGAACUGCAACGGGAACUGUUUUUCUUUAGUGCAGAAGAGGAGAGUGGAAUUCCAUGUGUAGCGGUGGAAUGCGUAGAUAUAUGGAAGAACACCAGUGGCGAAGGCGACUCUCUGGUCUGCAACUGACGCUGAGGCUCGAAAGCAUAGGUAGCGAACAGG
This 429-nucleotide ribosomal RNA is filed under the name bacterium. RNAcentral describes it as "partial 16S ribosomal RNA". It matches the Rfam family "Bacterial small subunit ribosomal RNA", at positions 355 to 776 of the family's 1533-position model. The record is from RNAcentral.